This is a long non-coding RNA of Mytilus californianus (California mussel), 678 nucleotides long. RefSeq lists it as uncharacterized. Lineage: Eukaryota; Metazoa; Mollusca; Bivalvia; Mytilida; Mytilidae. The record is from RefSeq and is a predicted model, not a curated record. The transcript has 3 exons.
UACAAUAUAAAAGGUAGUGUACAUUGACAUUUAUUAAACGUUAAAGCUACAAUCAUCAUACAGAGACAAAUUAUUUAAAUCCUACAAAGAAGAACACUUUCAAAAGAUGUCAGAUGAAAAUUGGAACAGUAUUAAAGAUGCAACAGACACCACAAAAUAUAAGCAUACGGAUAAACAUGACCACAGGAAAUUCGUGCAAGUAGGCACAAGUAAAUAUUAUUUGUCGAGGGAUUUGGCGGGUCAUGGUCACUCAUGGUGCAAGCUCUUUUUUAGAAAAAGGCAGUUCUUUAAAUUUUGUUGGAUCUGUAACCAAAAAUAUUUUUAAAGAUGUUGCUAAGUUAUACCCAAGGAGCUUAAAAGAUGCACAUUUUAAGCCAGUCUAUGAGGAUUUUCAAAUUAUUUCAAAACAUGAAUCAAAGGAAGGACAAGUUAUAGACAAGAAACGUCUAAUCAAAUGUAAAUAACUCUGUUUGCCACAAGAGAGUUGCUGUAUUUACAUGAAGUUUAAAUUAUUUUUAGCGGAAGCACUUCUUGCGUAAAAAUCCUAUAAUAUAUACCUUGAUUUUAUGUUGCUAAAAUAUGUAAAUAUUUACAUUACAGAUAAAUCAAUAUAGCAUUGAGUAAAUAUGUUAAUCUUAAAAUGAAUUGUAAUAAAGAAUUUUAAGUGUUGAUAUUUUA